Molecule: ribosomal RNA, 746 nt
Filed under: uncultured bacterium
Lineage: Bacteria
Description: bacterial SSU rRNA
Rfam family: Bacterial small subunit ribosomal RNA
Source: RNAcentral
AGAGUUUGAUCCUGGCUCAGAACGAACGCUGGCGGCAGGCUUAACACAUGCAAGUCGAGCGGGCGCCUUUCGGGGCGUCAGCGGCGGACGGGUUAGUAACGCGUGGGAACGUGCCUCUUGCUACGGAAUGGCCCAGGGAAACUUGGAGUAAUGCCGUAUACGCCCUUCGGGGGAAAGAUUUAUCGGCGAGAGAUCGGCCCGCGUCCGAUUAGGUAGUUGGUGGGGUAACGGCCCACCAAGCCGACGAUCGGUAGCUGGUUUGAGAGGAUGAUCAGCAACACUGGGACUGAGACACGGCCCAGACUCCUACGGGAGGCAGCAGUGGGGAAUCUUGGACAAUGGGGGCAACCCUGAUCCAGCCAUGCCGCGUGGACGAUGAAGGCCUUAGGGUUGUAAAGUCCUUUCGCCGGGGAAGAUAAUGACGGUACCCGGUAAAGAAGCCCCGGCUAACUCCGUGCCAGCAGCCGCGGUAAUACGGAGGGGGCUAGCGUUGUUCGGAAUUACUGGGCGUAAAGCGCGCGUAGGCGGACCGUUAAGUCGGGGGUGAAAUCCCGGGGCUCAACCCCGGAACGGCCUUCGAUACUGGCGGUCUGGAGGUCGAGAGAGGUGGGUGGAAUUCCGAGUGUAGAGGUGAAAUUCGUAGAUAUUCGGAGGAACACCGGUGGCGAAGGCGGCCCACUGGCUCGAUACUGACGCUGAGGCGCGAAAGCGUGGGGAGCAAACAGGAUUAGAUACCCUAGUAGUCC